GCUUUUCUGUUGCUUGGACAGUCAAUGUCAGAUGAUAAGAGCGGGUAGCUGGAGGCA
Molecule: microRNA precursor, 57 nt
Filed under: Heligmosomoides polygyrus
Lineage: Eukaryota; Metazoa; Nematoda; Chromadorea; Rhabditida; Heligmosomidae
Description: microRNA hpo-mir-10136 precursor
Source: miRBase by way of RNAcentral